Molecule: long non-coding RNA, 1012 nt
Filed under: Salmo salar (Atlantic salmon)
Lineage: Eukaryota; Metazoa; Chordata; Actinopteri; Salmoniformes; Salmonidae
Description: lncRNA (ENSSSAG00000092515.1)
Source: RNAcentral
UGUUCCUACUUGGGGAUGUAUGGCCACCUGUUAUCUCCACUCAGGGUCAGCUCCCAGUCUCCUCUUUCGCUAGCUAAUGUAUUUCUAUCUUUCCUUCCCUCAGCACAUCUACCUUUCUCCCACACACCCUGUGUUUCAUGAAGACAGGGACAGAGACGUAGAUAGCCUUGACGCUAACCCGAGCCAUAGGCCCCCCCAUUGGAAAAGCUAACCGCUAACCUAUAACCGCUAAUCUGGUAUUAGCUCCCUGGUAGAAGAAGACAGGAUUAAGAUGAGAGGUGGUUUAGCAGCAAACAACCUGCUUUUCAUUGUGUGAUCGCAUCGCUCCAGGGAAGGACCGGGAACGAAGAAGCGGGAACGAAGAACCGGGAACAAAGGACCGGGAACAACGGACCGGGAACGACGGACCGGGAACGAAGAACCGAGAGGAACCACCAUCAACAUGAGAGCUGUCCAGAACUGUAUGGUCCUCCUCGUCACACUACUCUUCCUCGCUUCAUGCUACGAGAGACUCUGCUGUUUACCUCUGUGCUUCGUGUGAAGACUGACGUCCCAGCAGGCUAAACUGGUUGCAGUGAAGUCAUUCUGACGUCUUUGUGACGUCACGGUCGGGUUGAAUAAGGUGAAGCCCUACGAUGCUAUACAUGCAUGGGCUUUGAUGAUGAGGACUGCAAUCGACAGGGCUCCACAACCUGUCCAAGCCACUCUGACGCUUGUGCUGUGGUCCGAGGACAAGGAAGCGGAGUGAUGAAGUCCUGCUCCUACAAGUCUUUCUGUAGCCAGGCCAACAGUCAGGGUUACAGGUUGCCAGGGGUCAGAUUUCACUGCUGUUUCUUUAAUGACUGCAACGUGACAGGAAACACAUCCAAUCUGGGAGGAAGUCUCAGCUACCCGCUACUCUUCCUACCCCUGUUCCUCCACUGGAUACCAAUCUAACUACCUAUCCCAAUCUAACUACCUAUCCCAAUCUAACUACCUAUCCCAAUCUAACUACCUAUCCCAAUCUAACUAC